Melopsittacus undulatus (budgerigar) is the source of this 1532-nucleotide long non-coding RNA. RefSeq lists it as uncharacterized. The record is from RefSeq and is a predicted model, not a curated record. The transcript is spliced from 3 exons. Lineage: Eukaryota; Metazoa; Chordata; Aves; Psittaciformes; Psittaculidae.
ACCCGCGCUGCCCAUUGGCCCGGGAGCAUCACGUUGCCCGCACCGAGCCGAGCCGGGGGCUCUGGGGCUGCUGCUGAUUCACUGGCUGUGGCGGGGUCCGGUUCAGCUCAGUCAUUGCCGCCGCCCGGUCAGGUAGGAGGGAGAGGGCGGACAUCACCGCCGCCAGCUCCGUCCGCCCGGCUCCCCCUCAGCGCUGACUCGUCCCGGCGGGCGAGAGCGGUCCUGGGUGGCCGCGCCUUUCGCCCGGGAGGAAGCGGUGCUUUGGAGGAUGGCACCUGGACGUGCCCGGUGCGGGACUGAAACCUCUUAAGAGCAAAAGGAUACAUAACUUCUGUGAUGCUACAUUAGGUAUAAUUCAGCUGUCUUCUCAGGCAUGGUUUACAAGUGGGAAGAUUGGAUAUUUCCCUGAAAAGACUUCAAGUUUGAUCUCAAAUCCUGCCCAUCUAAGAUCUUGAGAAUUAGCAAGCAGCAAGGAUCAUUUGGUUAAGUAUUUCCUGCAGACUUCUCUCACUGGUGCUUGGGAGCAGCACAGACUGUACAAAGUAAUAGCCAUGGGUUAUAGAAAAGUAAUAGCCAUAGGGUUGUAGAAAGAUGGCUUCUGUAUUAGCUUGCAGCUGAUGCAGUGAAGGGUAAAUACGUUUGUGCUUGUUUUUUUUUUUUCCAUUCGCUUCUUUUCCUUUGACUUCAACUCUUAGUUCCUGGAGUGGAGUAAAAUGGAAUGUGGUGUUAGCUGCUUCCCUUCCCAUUUAUGAAGAAUGUUGGUUUUAUGGGGACGUAGGGUAUAUGGGGGAAAUAGUUGAGUUGUUAACUCCUCAUAGCUAAUAACUUCUGAGUUAAUUGUACUGCCUGGCUGAUGGAGCUCAUGCAUCAAGGUGUAGUGCUAAGCCUUAUCGGGCUAGAACUUCUCACAGUUUGGAAUGCUACUCCUUUUUUCCUGCCUUUUGGGUUCUUCACAAUUUGCAAGGGGCCAACAGUUGGUUUAUUUAUUCAGUGAAGAGUGCUUAGACUCACUGUCAGUAAGCAGAAUGAAAGUAUGUGGAGUGUAAGUGUAGUUUUGAAUGAAAAUUUGCCAGUCUUCAGAAAUUAACAGUACAUUGACCAGUCUGCUUGGAUUUAUUCUUGUGUGUGCAGGUCUAGUUUGGAGGUAGUUGUUCCUCUUACAUACAACACCAGUUUCAAAUGUACACAAAGCCAGAUUGACCUUUGUGGCCCCAGUGGUGGGUUAAACCAGGAAGUUGUGCUUUGGAUAAGGUGUGUGUUAGUUAUGCUUUUUCGUUGACUUAUUUUGAAAGAUAAGUGGCUAUGAGCUCUGUGCAGUGUGUCGGUGAUGUCCAGAUUGAAGCAAAAAGUCUGACUGCCGCAGCAUUUGACUACUGUGGUUCAAAGAUGAGGAUUUCGUGCACAUAUAGCCCAACUGUCAAACUAGCUUGCACUAGUACCACUGGCUGGCAAGCUGUGGUCUUGCAGACUUCCACACAGGUUACAGACGAGCUCUCACGAAGGUGUAAUUCAACUCCAGGAGCUGCAACUGG